GCCGCGGUAAUACGUAGGGUGCGAGCGUUAUCCGGAAUUAUUGGGCGUAAAGAGCUCGUAGGCGGUUUGUCGCGUCUGUCGUGAAAGUCCGGGGCUUAACCCCGGAUCUGCGGUGGGUACGGGCAGACUAGAGUGCAGUAGGGGAGACUGGAAUUCCUGGUGUAGCGGUGGAAUGCGCAGAUAUCAGGAGGAACACCGAUGGCGAAGGCAGGUCUCUGGGCUGUAACUGACGCUGAGGAGCGAAAGCAUGGGGAGCGAACAGGAUUAGAUACCCUGGUAGUCCAUGCCGUAUACGUUGGGCACUAGGUGUGGGGACCAUUCCACGGUUUCCGCGCCGCAGCUAACGCAUUAAGUGCCCCGCCUGGGGAGUACGGCCGCAAGGCUAAAACUCAAGGAAUUGACGGGGGCCCGCACAAGCGGC
This 421-nucleotide ribosomal RNA is filed under the name Micrococcus luteus. RNAcentral's name for it is "bacterial SSU rRNA". It matches the Rfam family "Bacterial small subunit ribosomal RNA", at positions 514 to 933 of the family's 1533-position model. Lineage: Bacteria; Bacillati; Actinomycetota; Actinomycetes; Micrococcales; Micrococcaceae. The record is from RNAcentral.